Molecule: unclassified non-coding RNA, 452 nt
Filed under: Hevea brasiliensis (rubber tree)
Lineage: Eukaryota; Viridiplantae; Streptophyta; Magnoliopsida; Malpighiales; Euphorbiaceae
Source: RNAcentral
GUUUGCUUGGUGGGGGAGUAAUAAGAACUGCUGCAUCCACUUGACCGUUUGCUGGAUUUUCCAGAUUAGGAACGGGGUUAAUUGAUUCAACGUAUGUUACAUGGUAACUCUCUGUUGUGAAGUAUCUGGAACAAUAAUCAUAUGGACUCCUUCCUAUGCAUUCAAAAACAGCAAUAGCAUGGCAGCAAGGCAUCCCAUUCAAUUGCCAACUUUUGCAACUACAAUCCCAUUGAUCAAUAUCAACUACGUCAACAGACUCACCACGAACUUCAAAUGUACUUCCAUGCGAGGGUAACACAUGAAGUGACCCUGCUUUUGAGGUUUCACUCUGAAGUUUUUCUUCCAUCAAUGGUGUCAAUCUCGUAGCCCACUGACUGGACUCAACACGCCUAGUAUAGAUCAAUUCCAUUAUCUUCCCUCGUAAUACAUCAACCAUUUGAGUUAUCGGCAGC